Molecule: unclassified non-coding RNA, 236 nt
Filed under: uncultured fungus
Lineage: Eukaryota; Fungi
Description: sequence contains ITS1
Source: RNAcentral
UUUUUUGUUAUGAUUUUUAUAAUACAUUCUUUGACUCGUGUUUAUGAAUUGAAAAAGGUUCUUUAGACAAGGAAGAGGUUUUGCGUCUUCCAGAGUCUGAAAGAAGCCUUUUAGAAAUAGUGCACAGGGUAGAAAGUGGAGGUCAGGCCCCUCUGACGCCAACCCAGUUAAAGGAGUUAGGCGAGAGGGCACCCUAAAAUUCACUAAUGAUCCUUCCGCAGGUUCACCUACGGAAA